UACGUCGACCGAGCGGAGCGACCGAGCAGCGCCGAGAUUGCGGGUUAUGGUGAGCGGGGAGGCAGCCGCCUAAAGUGUGAUCGGUAAUUGGGGUG
Molecule: ribosomal RNA, 95 nt
Filed under: uncultured bacterium
Lineage: Bacteria
Description: partial 16S ribosomal RNA
Source: RNAcentral